Aethalodelphis obliquidens (Pacific white-sided dolphin) is the source of this 4949-nucleotide long non-coding RNA. RefSeq lists it as uncharacterized. The transcript is spliced from 15 exons. NCBI's taxonomy places the organism in Eukaryota, Metazoa, Chordata, Mammalia, Artiodactyla, Delphinidae. The record is from RefSeq and is a predicted model, not a curated record.
GCAGGAGGGGGAGUGGUCAGCGGGGGAUGGGGGCGGGCGCGGCGGCUUCAGCCCUCCCUCCCCACCCUCGACGCGCUCCUCUUAUAAGCUCGGGGCAGCCAGGUUCCUGCGUCGGGGUUGUGUGAGUGUGCGUUCGAGUGUGAGCGUGAGUGGCCGUGGCCGCCGCUGCCACCCGGAGUGCUCCCGGGGCUCGGCUGCUCCGCGCGUCCGCCCGGGGCUCACGGGGGCCCGGGGCGGCUGCUGGUUGGCUCGCGCGCCGCCCUCGCCUCCAAUCCCCGGUGCCUGCCCUAAUUUCCUGAUCCAGGGAACCUGCCGCCGCAGCAGCUGUGCGCUCCCUACAGUCAUUACUGUACCUUCCCGGCAGCCGCCAACCGUAAAUGCAGCAGCAGCAGCAGCAGUGGCAGCAGCAGCAGUUAGCACUGAUGCAACUACUGAGGCUAUUGCCACCGCCUUCCCAGUAACGCGGCUUACAGCCCGGAGGGGGGGACUUGCAGUUUCCAGGGGCAACAAGCGUCUCUCUACCACCUUCUCCUGCGCCUCAAAGAGGGCUGGUCCUGUGAGGCUGGGACGAAGAUGAUUCAAAGCUGAGCUGAAACUGCUGCAAGAACCAGUCUCCUUUGGGUCACUCUGUUAGGGUGACCUAGGCUCUCUUACCAAGUCCAAGACUACAACAUUUGUGAUUUUUAUCUCCAUGAAACUGCUAAAAGUGCUGCGUAGCCCUUUGGCUGCCUCUUCCUGAAUUGGAAAGGUACAGUCUUGACAAGGAACAAAUGACGUCUGUAUAUGAAGAAAUGACAGAUGACCAUGUGUUAACUGUCAGCCUUGAUGGAUUUACACAAGAAGGCCAAAGCAACUCAAGGAAGGGAGACACCCCGGGAAUCCUCAGGACCUUUCGGUGGAGGGAACCUGGCAGCAGGGGUUCCUGGGGAUCAUAUCUGGCACUGGCGAUGAUUGGCUCCACCAGUCAGUGAGGAAGGGGUCCUACUGACCACAGCCCCCCAACCAGCUUCAGUGAAAAGACGGAGACUGAGGUGAUGGAGCCCUGGUUCCUCAUGCACAGACAAUUAUGGUACUUAAUUUGGAACUGUGGGAAGCUUUGGUUCAUGCACCUGAAAAGCUGACCCGGAAGUUAUGCUUAGAGAAGAAAAAGAGGGAAGAGCCUCUUAGGUAACUUGAAGAGCAUCAAGGAUCCAAUGAUAAAAACCACUGCCCUGAAGUGACGUGUGCUACUUUCAGCUGAGGGUUCAACUGCUGACAUGACACCCUCGAGAUCUCUCUUUUUCUCCUCUGCCAUCACAUCCCAAAAUUCUCCGGAGUGGAUGCUUCAUCAGCGUGGGUUUGGAGCUAAGAUGAUGAUGAUACUGAGGAGAGCCUGGGGCAGACUCACUAUGAAAAAUAAACUUUUAUUGUUUUAAGCCACUGAAGAAAACAGAAAACACUGCCCUGAACUUUCCAAGGUGUAAUAAAUCUCUCUGCAUAAGACUCUGCAGUCAUUGCCAAGGCAGAUCCUGAACUGAGAGCCACGUGGAAAGAGGACUGGAAUGGAAAUCAGAUUCGGGGUCCUGCUUGGGUUUCUUCCAGAUGACCCCACCCGUCAGCCAUCUGGUCUCAGAUUCCACAUAUGAGUGAGAUCAUAUGAUAUUCAUCAUUCUGUGUCUGACUUUCUGCAACAUGGAUUGACCUAGAGAUUAUCAUACUAAGUGAAGUAAGUCAAGGUUUCUUGAUAAGUUAUUUUGCUCAUCUGAAAAAGCCUUGACAUGCUAGAAAUUUUCUUAGACAUUCCCUUAAUUUCAUUCUCUUUGAUUUCUACAGGGGGAAUACAUGGCUUUCUCCUCACUUCUUUGCAUUUUUCCAGUGCCUUUGAAAGUACCACCAGAAUGAUGGCUGCAUUUUCAGUGGUGGAAAUUAUUGCUAUGUCUCAGAAGCAAGGAAUCACAGGAUGUCUACUUUCCAGUGGUGAUAUAUGACUCUCAUAAAUGAAAGCCACACCAUCAUUUAUAACACCCUAAUGAGUUUUUUUCAUAGAGACAGAACAGAGAUUCCUAAUGUUUCUUGGAACUUCCCAAAAAACAGGGCAAGAAAAAGAAAUUCAACUAAAUGCCUGUUUGUUAGCCCAGCAUUGGAAGGGAGCAGCCUUAAAGAAUAAUUGGUCGCUCCUAAGAAAACAUUAAUAUAACAAAAGCUGUCAAAAGAUAUGAAGGAAGAAAGGAUGGUACUUUUUGAUUAUGAGGUGGGGUGACUGGCGGGCGGAAGGUGGAAUCAUCUGAAGGGCACUCACUCGCGUGUCUGGUGGUUGAUGCUGACCGUUGGCUGGGACCAACGUGGGGCCGUGGCUGGAACACCUACGUGUGGUCCUUCAUACGGCUGCUCAUCUUCCCCACAGUAUGGUGGCUGGGUUCCAAAGGUGGUCGCAAAGCAUUGCCCAGGUGCCGAGAGAGGAAAACUGGACUCUCUCUCUUGAUGGACUCAAGACAACCAUAAGACAUUUCGUUUUAGCUCAGUCAACAUUUUAUUCUUCAGAAAUUUGUUAAAGACUUGAAACUUUUUCCAGUCUGUUCUCUCCCACCACUACAGCGCCAAAGUAACAAAAGGAGCAAGGCUCCUCUAGCUGGAACUCAUGAAGUAAAUGAAGAACUACAAACAAUUUAUUAUGGUUAGAGGAUAUGAAUGGGGCAUGCCUCGUAAAAGUGGAAAUUUUUGUAUAGAGCCACAAAGGAUACCUAAGAUUUCUACAGAUAGAGGAAACAGAAUAAACAAAGGCACAGAUGCUUGAACUUGCCUGGCACAUUCAAGGAUGUAGAAUCAAGGAAGUGUGGAAAGUGCAUGCGAGGAUGGAUGACUUUCUUUGAUUUUGCCAAAAGGAGAGAAUGAGAACUUGAUAAAUAAGGCAGAAGAAGAAUUGCUUUGACUGGAGAUUUCGAAACCAUCUCUCCUCUUCCCCUGCAUUUUGAAUGGGGCUCCGUGAACAUCUGAAAGCUGGAAGUUAUUACAGAAGAUUGAGCAGAGUCCCCUGUGCUGUACAGCAGUGUGUAUAUGCUCUGCCCCUCUGUCUCCUGCAUACCCACUGCCACUGUCCAGACUUCCCGCAUCCUUCUCCAGGACACUUCAGUAGGGAGAAGAGAGGAUGGAGCAAUGUCCUCAAGCUGAUGGGAGGCCAAGUGUAUGGGUUGGAAGAGUUGACCAUGAGUACCUCUAAUCCUCCAAGACCAUAGGGAAAGAUCCAAGAAUGGGAGCAGAGGUAGGUAAACUUGGAGGUGGGAACACCACAGGAUGGUACAGUUCAAGCCAGAUGGCUUCAGUUUUUGUUGAAGUAGGUUACAAAGGCACAUCUGCUGGUAGUAAGGACAUUGAGACUGGGGAAAGGGCUGAGGGAAAAUGGUAGCUUGGGAACAUCAGAGAAGUAAGUAGAAGGAGAAAUAUCACUGAUGGCAGGGGAGCGCAUUGGGUUUGAGAUACCUCUGGUUUUCAUGGUUGUGUUUUUUUCCACCUGCAAGCAGAAGCCCAGGAACAGAGGCAGAAAAUAACAGCAAACAUUUACUGAGCAUUUCCUAUGUACCUGAAACUUAUCUUAGCAUCUCUACAUAUUGUGGUAAGCAGAAUAAUGACCUAGUAAUGGCCACAUCCUAAUCUCCGGAAUCUGUGAAUUGCUACAUUAUAUGGCAAAGGGGAGUUAAGGUUACAGAUGGAAUGCAGGUUGCGGAUCAGCCAACUGCGAAACAGGGAGAUCAUCCUAGAUUAUAUGGGUUAUGUGGGCCCAAUAUAAUAAGGGUCCAAGAAGUAGAAGAUGGAAGCGCAAGAGAAGAUCAGAGUGAUACGAAGUGAGAAGGACUUAACCUGCCAUUGCUGGUUUUGAAGAAGGAGGCAGGGGCCCUGAGUCAAGGAAUGUGGGUGGCCUCUAAAAUCUAGAAAAGGCAAGGAAACGGAUCCUACCCUCUAGCCUCUAAAAGGACUGCAGCCCUGCUGACAACUUGAUUUUAACCCCUGAGGCUCUGCCAGACUUCUGAUCUACAGAAAUGUAAAACAGUAAAUUGUAUUCUUGAAUUUUUUAAAUGUGUGGUAACUGGCUACAGCAGCAAUAUAAAACUAAAACCUAUAUAUGUUUUCUUUUAUCCUUCACAACAUUAUUUUAUAGUUGGGCCGUUUGGGGAGUUGAUCCUGGUUAUUGACCUGGAUGUCAUGAAGGAGGUGGAGACAAAUCUUGAGAAAGAAAUGUUUCCAACUUGCAAGGCGUCUGCCUCAAGGGAAGCCUUUGUAGUAUUUUUAGGCAAGGAAUAAUGGACCACUUCUGAAGGCCCAGAGGGUUCAAGGGAUUCUGAGGACCCAGAGCACUCAAUUCUUCCAUCUAGAUGUCCCCAUUCUAUGCCCCAGUAUCCCAUGCGUUCCCUAUCAAACCUUGACUUUGGCGUAUGAGAUUUGGUGGGGCUACAUAUUACGGCUUCUCUGUAAUUUGUUUUUCACAGUCAGGUCCUGGGCCUGAUUUUCAGCCCAAUCUGCCUUCUGUCUGUGGUAGUGCAGGAUCUCUUUAAGUCCGUGAGAGAGGCCUCUUGAGUUGCACAUUAUGCCCUGAAUAAGUGGUUGGUUUGGUUGAGCCUGCCAACUCCACAGCCCUUAUAGUUACCACUGGACUUUAUCUCUCAAGUAUUAGCAAGUUUGCAAAUGCCAGUAUCUCAUUUCACCUGGCCUCAGGUGAGAUGCUUAGUAAUUGUGAUAUUACACAGCAUACUCACCUUAAAUGUCACUUCACCUAAAACCUAGGGAGUCCUUCCUUGACUCUUCAGUCUAAAACCUCAUAAAAUUCACCAUCCCUACACACUAUUUCUUUUAUAAUAUGCAUAACACUGUAUUUUAUUUUUGUGUCUAAAAUUUAUUGUUUGUACAUCCAGAUAUAAUGAGACCUUUUAAAAUGCAGUGCUGGUUCAAGGCUUGGCACAAAAUGGACUCAAUAAAUA